This 79-nucleotide small nucleolar RNA is filed under the name Carlito syrichta (Philippine tarsier). RNAcentral's name for it is "Small nucleolar RNA SNORA51 (ENSTSYG00000023508.2)". It matches the Rfam family "Small nucleolar RNA SNORA51", at positions 54 to 133 of the family's 133-position model. Rfam says of the family: ACA51 is a member of the H/ACA class of snoRNA that guide the sites of modification of uridines to pseudouridines. Lineage: Eukaryota; Metazoa; Chordata; Mammalia; Primates; Tarsiidae. The record is from RNAcentral.
GGAGGCAGAGUAAAUCUACCCUGUGUACACCUCAGUCCAGGCCCUGUGCCUGGCCUGUAUUGUGAAUGGGGGGACAUGG